This 204-nucleotide unclassified non-coding RNA is filed under the name Hevea brasiliensis (rubber tree). The record is from RNAcentral. Lineage: Eukaryota; Viridiplantae; Streptophyta; Magnoliopsida; Malpighiales; Euphorbiaceae.
GAACUUUCAAAAUUGAAUCGAGCCGACACAGCAAAACGAACGAAGACCCAACAACAACGAAACUGAGUAUACGCCUUGACUGGACGACUAAACCUCGAUCGGAACUUCAAACCAUACAAUUGAACCAACUCCUCUGGCAAAACCGAUACCGUCGAGAGUUUACCCCGUCGUUAUCAGAUUACCCAGAAAAUCAAGUUUGUUCAC